UACGUAGGGUCCGAGCGUUGUCCGGAAUUAUUGGGCGUAAAGAGCUCGUAGGCGGUUUGUCGCGUCUGCUGUGAAAUCCCGAGGCUCAACCUCGGGCCUGCAGUGGGUACGGGCAGACUGGAGUGCGGUAGGGGAGAAUGGAAUUCCUGGUGUAGCGGUGGAAUGCGCAGAUAUCAGGAGGAACACCGAUGGCGAAGGCAGGUCUCUGGGCCGCAACUGACGCUGAGGAGCGAAAGCAUGGGGAGCGAACAGG
This 253-nucleotide ribosomal RNA is filed under the name uncultured bacterium. Its description in RNAcentral is "partial 16S ribosomal RNA". It matches the Rfam family "Bacterial small subunit ribosomal RNA", at positions 524 to 776 of the family's 1533-position model. The record is from RNAcentral.